UACAGAGGUCUCAAGCGUUGUUCGGAUUCAUUGGGCGUAAAGGGUGCGUAGGCGGCGCGGUAAGUCGGGUGUGAAAUCUCGGAGCUUAACUCCGAAACUGCAUUCGAUACUGCCGUGCUUGAGGACUGGAGAGGAGACUGGAAUUUACGGUGUAGCGGUGAAAUGCGUAGAUAUCAUGAGGAAGACCAGUGGCGAAGGCGGGUCUCUGGACAGUUCCUGACGCUGAGGCACGAAGGCCGGGGGAGCAAACGGG
This 253-nucleotide ribosomal RNA is filed under the name uncultured bacterium. RNAcentral describes it as "partial 16S ribosomal RNA". It matches the Rfam family "Bacterial small subunit ribosomal RNA", at positions 524 to 776 of the family's 1533-position model. The record is from RNAcentral.